This is a long non-coding RNA of Wasmannia auropunctata (little fire ant), 439 nucleotides long. RefSeq lists it as uncharacterized. The record is from RefSeq and is a predicted model, not a curated record. The transcript is spliced from 3 exons. Lineage: Eukaryota; Metazoa; Arthropoda; Insecta; Hymenoptera; Formicidae.
GAAAUGGAUAAAGCGUGGAAAGCCGGCUGUUGCCAAUGCGUUUUACGUGUGGUUCGAUAACUGGAUUCAAUUCUCCGCGGGUAUUUUGCAAGAUAUAUUUUUCAACAAUAAACGGCAACAUUACAUGAACUACGGCGGCAUCGGACGUGUUAUUGGCCCUGAGAUUAUCCACGACUUUGAUGAUUUAGACGGGUUAAACACUCUGAGGAAGAACAUCGCGGAUAAUGGCGGCAUAAAGAAAGCUUAUUACGCGUACAAAGAAUGAGUUAAGCGAAACAAGCCAGAGCAAAGGUUACCGGGGUUGUUGUACAGUCUAGAACAGAUGUUCUGGAUAAGCGUGGCCAAUUCUUGAUGUACAAAGAUCGACUAAAAGCACUGAAGCAACGAUAGCGCAUUCCUACAGCUCGGACGAAUUUCGCAUUUGUGGACCACUGUCGAA